AAAAUAAAGACCUCCUAACUUUAUUUAAUAAAAUCCUAAACUUUUUUCAUCACAAUCUCCUAAUGAAGCCACCCACAGGGGUGGCUUUUGC
RNAcentral lists this small RNA (91 nucleotides) under Streptococcus pneumoniae 06-01-003MEF. RNAcentral's name for it is "Cia-dependent small RNA csRNA1". It matches the Rfam family "Cia-dependent small RNA csRNA1". Lineage: Bacteria; Bacillati; Bacillota; Bacilli; Lactobacillales; Streptococcaceae. The record is from Rfam by way of RNAcentral.